This is a long non-coding RNA of Carassius gibelio (silver crucian carp), 996 nucleotides long. RefSeq lists it as uncharacterized. The transcript has 2 exons. NCBI's taxonomy places the organism in Eukaryota, Metazoa, Chordata, Actinopteri, Cypriniformes, Cyprinidae. The record is from RefSeq and is a predicted model, not a curated record.
GCAAGUUGGGAAGAGAAAAGUAUUGAUUGUGUCUUGGGUUUGUAUGAUGAACUUCCCAAAACUAUUUUUCUUUGUUUUUGGGAACUAUCGGUUGGGGUGUUUGUUGUGUGGGACAUUUAUCAGUGUUGCGCGCUAUGCAUUUGGAGUGCGUGAGUUACGUCAUCCUCAUUUGCGGAUAGACGCUGGCGAGGAAAGACGCACUUAUUUUCUCUCGCUCUUCCUACUUAAUGUUGGUAUGUAAGUAGAGUUCAUUCAAUUAAAGUUCGUUGAUCAUUGAGUACAAUGUUAUAUUGAAUCGAUUGUACACAUGCAUAUUGUGUAUUUUGAAUUUUGUGUGAGCUUUAUCGGACGCACGUGGAGUGAACUAACUGUUGAUUUGUGCACAGUGUGUGAUGUGGGAAGAGGUUGGCGCAACGAAAAAUAUUGAUCAAAUUGUCCCAUAUGUUUCCAGGUAUGUUCAGUUCUUCAAUUUAACCAGCAUAACGUGAUCUAAUUUUUGUAAAUUGGGUUUAUAAUGAAUAUGUGGAUUGUACUUUUGAGCAGAUAUUGUAUAUUUAUUUCUCAGAUUCUAUAAUACAUUAUAUUAUGUUACAGCCAUCUACUACACUGGUUUUGCAGUUAUAUAGAGUAUAAUGUGGAUGUGUCUGAUGUUUUGAGGGAAAAACAACAACAUUAUUCUUAUGUGUUACUAUUGAUAUGUUUGAAGAAUAUAUACACAUCCAGCCAUUUCAUCACUUUAUUUUUCCUUUAACGAAAGAAAUGUAUUAUUUGCACAAUAAUGUAUCUGCUACAUAAUGUUAAAUAUGUAUACAAGUGAGUUACGUCAUCCUCAGUUUGCGGAUAGACGCUGGCGAGGAAAGACGCACUUAUUUUCUCUCGCUCUUCCUACUUAAUGUUGUGUGUGAUGUGGGAAGAGGUUGGCGCAACGAAAAAUAUUGAUCAAAUUGUCCCAUAUGUUUCCAGGGCGGGUCAAUAAAUUCAGCUGUUCUCAAGCCA